UGSGCAAACCCGGAAUCGAACCAGGGGGUCAUCGAUGGCAACGAUGAAUUUUACCACUAAACCAUUUGCGC
This 71-nucleotide transfer RNA is filed under the name Zygosaccharomyces rouxii. Its description in RNAcentral is "partial transfer RNA". The record is from RNAcentral. Lineage: Eukaryota; Fungi; Ascomycota; Saccharomycetes; Saccharomycetales; Saccharomycetaceae.